GGGCCGGUAGAUCAGACUGGUAGAUCGCCCGCUUGGCAUGCGGGAGGGCGCGGGUUCAAGUCCCGCCCGGUCCACCA
RNAcentral lists this transfer RNA (77 nucleotides) under Thermoprotei archaeon. RNAcentral describes it as "tRNA-Ala". It matches the Rfam family "tRNA". Rfam says of the family: Transfer RNA (tRNA) molecules are approximately 80 nucleotides in length. Their secondary structure includes four short double-helical elements and three loops (D, anti-codon, and T loops). Further hydrogen bonds mediate the characteristic L-shaped molecular structure. tRNAs have two regions of fundamental functional importance: the anti-codon, which is responsible for specific mRNA codon recognition, and the 3' end, to which the tRNAs corresponding amino acid is attached (by aminoacyl-tRNA synthetases). tRNAs cope with the degeneracy of the genetic code in two manners: having more than one tRNA (with a specific anti-codon) for a particular amino acid; and 'wobble' base-pairing, i.e. permitting non-standard base-pairing at the 3rd anti-codon position. Lineage: Archaea; Thermoproteati; Thermoproteota; Thermoprotei. RNAcentral also lists the same sequence under 1 other name. The record is from RNAcentral.